Molecule: long non-coding RNA, 349 nt
Organism: Stylophora pistillata
Lineage: Eukaryota; Metazoa; Cnidaria; Anthozoa; Scleractinia; Pocilloporidae
Source: RefSeq, a predicted model, not a curated record
GUUUCCUGGUGAAUCAACAGGCCGAUGGAGUGAAGUUUCAGCUAAAGAAUCCUUGUGUUUCCUCCUUUCAGCUCGGCUCUGAACUUGUAAAACAGUUCUUUGUGUAAAGUGCAUCUCACCAAGUCGAAGUUGUACAGCAGCUGUAGCUCAGUUUCAUUAAACACCAACAUUUGCAGUCGUCGAGUAGAGAGGAAAGUUACGGAGAGAUCCAUUGAAAAACACCCAGACUGUGUGACAAUUCUGUAAAGACAUUGCUGUGAAUACUAACUAAGUUCCAGAAUAUUCUGAGUUCCAUUUGAGUACCAUAAUCCAACAGCUACAGGCUUUAUGACACCUAGGUGUACAGACA